RNAcentral lists this ribosomal RNA (301 nucleotides) under uncultured bacterium. Its description in RNAcentral is "partial 16S ribosomal RNA". It matches the Rfam family "Archaeal small subunit ribosomal RNA", at positions 459 to 759 of the family's 1478-position model. The record is from RNAcentral.
CAGCCGCCGCGGGAAUACCAGCAGCCCAAGUGGUGGUCGCGUUUAUUGGGCCUAAAGCGCUCGUAGCCUGACCGGUAAGUUCCCCGUGAAAUCGGGUCGCCCAACGAUUCGGCUUGCGGGGAAUACUGUCGGUCUUGGGGCCGGGAGACGCCGAGGGUACUCCGGGGGUAGCGGUGAAAUGCUGUAAUCCUCGGGGGACUACCAGUGGCGAAGGCGCUCGGCGAUAACGGGCCUGACGGUGAGGGGCGAAAGCUGGGGGCGCGAACGGGAUUAGAUACCCCCGUAGUCCCUGUCUCUUAUA